GACGAACGCUGGCGGCGUGCUUAACACAUGCAAGUCGAACGGAAAGGCCCUGCUUUUGUGGGGUGCUCGAGUGGCGAACGGGUGAGUAACACGUGAGUAACCUGCCCUUGACUUUGGGAUAACUUCAGGAAACUGGGGCUAAUACCGGAUAGGAGCUCCUGCUGCAUGGUGGGGGUUGGAAAGUUUCGGCGGUUGGGGAUGGACUCGCGGCUUAUCAGCUUGUUGGUGGGGUAGUGGCUUACCAAGGCUUUGACGGUAGCCGGCCUGAGAGGGUGACCGGCCACAUUGGGACUGAGAUACGGCCCAGACUCCUACGGGAGGCAGCAGUGGGGAAUAUUGCACAAUGGGCGGAAGCCUGAUGCAGCAACGCCGCGUGCGGGAUGACGGCCUUCGGGUUGUAAACCGCUUUCGCCUGUGACGAAGCGUGAGUGACGGUAAUGGGUAAAGAAGCACAGGCUAACUACGUG
RNAcentral lists this ribosomal RNA (467 nucleotides) under uncultured bacterium. Its description in RNAcentral is "partial 16S ribosomal RNA". It matches the Rfam family "Bacterial small subunit ribosomal RNA", at positions 28 to 507 of the family's 1533-position model. The record is from RNAcentral.